Molecule: small nuclear RNA, 24 nt
Filed under: Arabidopsis thaliana (thale cress)
Lineage: Eukaryota; Viridiplantae; Streptophyta; Magnoliopsida; Brassicales; Brassicaceae
Description: snRNA_17184
Source: RNAcentral
AACGACGGUGCAAAAUGAAGAGAU